RNAcentral lists this ribosomal RNA (1114 nucleotides) under Vibrio sp. 796M. RNAcentral's name for it is "bacterial SSU rRNA". It matches the Rfam family "Bacterial small subunit ribosomal RNA", at positions 380 to 1486 of the family's 1533-position model. The record is from RNAcentral. Lineage: Bacteria; Pseudomonadati; Pseudomonadota; Gammaproteobacteria; Vibrionales; Vibrionaceae.
AGCCUGAUCAGCCAUGCCGCGUGUGUGAAGAAGGCCUUCGGGUUGUAAAGCACUUUCAGUCGUGAGGAAGGUGGUAGUGUUAAUAGCACUAUCAUUUGACGUUAGCGACAGAAGAAGCACCGGCUAACUCCGUGCCAGCAGCCGCGGUAAUACGGAGGGUGCGAGCGUUAAUCGGAAUUACUGGGCGUAAAGCGCAUGCAGGUGGUUUGUUAAGUCAGAUGUGAAAGCCCGGGGCUCAACCUCGGAAUAGCAUUUGAAACUGGCAGACUAGAGUACUGUAGAGGGGGGUAGAAUUUCAGGUGUAGCGGUGAAAUGCGUAGAGAUCUGAAGGAAUACCGGUGGCGAAGGCGGCCCCCUGGACAGAUACUGACACUCAGAUGCGAAAGCGUGGGGAGCAAACAGGAUUAGAUACCCUGGUAGUCCACGCCGUAAACGAUGUCUACUUGGAGGUUGUGGCCUUGAGCCGUGGCUUUCGGAGCUAACGCGUUAAGUAGACCGCCUGGGGAGUACGGUCGCAAGAUUAAAACUCAAAUGAAUUGACGGGGGCCCGCACAAGCGGUGGAGCAUGUGGUUUAAUUCGAUGCAACGCGAAGAACCUUACCUACUCUUGACAUCCAGAGAACUUUCCAGAGAUGGAUUGGUGCCUUCGGGAACUCUGAGACAGGUGCUGCAUGGCUGUCGUCAGCUCGUGUUGUGAAAUGUUGGGUUAAGUCCCGCAACGAGCGCAACCCUUAUCCUUGUUUGCCAGCGAGUAAUGUCGGGAACUCCAGGGAGACUGCCGGUGAUAAACCGGAGGAAGGUGGGGACGACGUCAAGUCAUCAUGGCCCUUACGAGUAGGGCUACACACGUGCUACAAUGGCGCAUACAGAGGGCAGCAAGCUAGCGAUAGUGAGCGAAUCCCAAAAAGUGCGUCGUAGUCCGGAUUGGAGUCUGCAACUCGACUCCAUGAAGUCGGAAUCGCUAGUAAUCGUGGAUCAGAAUGCCACGGUGAAUACGUUCCCGGGCCUUGUACACACCGCCCGUCACACCAUGGGGAGUGGGCUGCAAAAGAAGUAGGUAGUUUAACCUUCGGGAGGACGCUUACCACUUUGGGGUUCAUGACUGGGGUGAAGC